AACAGGAUUAGAUACCCUGGUAGUCCAUGCCGUAAACGAUGAGUGCUAGGUGUUGGAGGGUUUCCGCCCUUCAGUGCCGGAGCUAACGCAUUAAGCACUCCGCCUGGGGAGUACGACCGCAAGGUUGAAACUCAAAGGAAUUGACGGGGGCCCGCACAAGCGGUGGAGCAUGUGGUUUAAUUCGAAGCUACGCGAAGAACCUUACCAGGUCUUGACAUCUUGCGCUAACCUAAGAGAUUAGGCGUUCCCUUCGGGGACGCAAUGACAGGUGGUGCAUGGUCGUCGUCAGCUCGUGUCGUGAGAUGUUGGGUUAAGUCCCGCAACGAGCGCAACCCUUGUUACUAGUUGCCAGCAUUCAGUUGGGCACUCUAGUGAGACUGCCGGUGACAAACCGGAGGAAGGUGGGGACGACGUCAGAUCAUCAUGCCCCUUAUGACCUGGGCUACACACGUGCCACAAUGGUCGGUACAACGAGUCGCUAACCCGCGAGGGCAAGCUAAUCUCUUAAAGCCGAUCUCAGUUCGGACUGUAGGCUGCAACUCGCCUACACGAAGUCGGAAUCGCUAGUAAUCGCGGAUCAGCAUGCCGCGGUGAAUACGUUCCCGGGCCUUGUACACACCGCCCGUCACACCAUGGAAGUUUGUAACGCCCAAAGUCGGUGGCCUAACCAUUUGGAGGGAGCCGCCUAAGGCGGGACAGAUGACUAGGGUGAAGUCGUAACAAGGUAACC
Molecule: ribosomal RNA, 730 nt
Filed under: uncultured bacterium
Lineage: Bacteria
Description: bacterial SSU rRNA
Rfam family: Bacterial small subunit ribosomal RNA
Source: RNAcentral